This 300-nucleotide ribosomal RNA is filed under the name Triticum aestivum (bread wheat). RNAcentral's name for it is "partial small subunit ribosomal RNA". Lineage: Eukaryota; Viridiplantae; Streptophyta; Magnoliopsida; Poales; Poaceae. The record is from RNAcentral.
ACUGACACAGAAGCAAAGUGUUUCAAGGCACAUAAAUCCAAUGAUGAGACUGGUAGUUUCAGAAAAGAUGAUGAAGCUGAUUCAAGAAAUACUACUAAGGCUGUUGAUCAAAAUCCUCCACCACCAAAGCAAGGUUUCAUCCAUGUGAGGGCAAGAAGGGGUCAAGCAACUGACAACCAUAGCCUUGCAGAAAGGGUCAGUUCAAUGCACAAUUUCCAUCUACUUUUUUUAUGGGCACGGCGUGAGAAAAUAACCAAGCCGAUGAAAAUUCUCCAAGACCCUGUCCCUGGAUGUAAUAAA